CAGGGCGGGGUGCUAUACAUGCAGUCGAGCGCGGGAAGCAAGCAAUCACCCUUCGGGGUGAGCGCUUGUGGAACGAGCGGCGGACGGGUGAGUAACACGUGGGCAACCUGCCUGUGAGACUGGGAUAACCCCGGGAAACCGGGGCUAAUACCGGAUACCUCUUUUCUUUGCAUAAAGAGAAGAUGAAAGGCGGCCUUUGGCUGUCACUCACAGAUGGGCCCGCGGCGCAUUAGCUGGUUGGUGGGGUAAUGGCCCACCAAGGCGACGAUGCGUAGCCGACCUGAGAGGGUGAUCGGCCACACUGGGACUGAGACACGGCCCAGACUCCUACGGGAGGCAGCAGUAGGGAAUCAUCCGCAAUGGACGAAAGUCUGACGGUGCAACGCCGCGUGAGUGAUGAAGGUUUUCGGAUCGUAAAACUCUGUUGUCAGGGAAGAACACGUGCCGCAUGAAUAAGGCGGUGCAUUGACGGUACCUGACCAGAAAGCCCCGGCUAACUACGUGCCAGCAGCCGCGGUAAUACGUAGGGGGCAAGCGUUGUCCGGAAUUAUUGGGCGUAAAGCGCACGCAGGCGGUCUUUUAAGUCUGAUGUGAAAUCUCGCGGCUCAACCGCGAGCGGUCAUUGGAAACUGGAGGACUUGAGUGCAGAAGAGGAGAGUGGAAUUCCACGUGUAGCGGUGAAAUGCGUAGAGAUGUGGAGGAACACCAGUGGCGAAGGCGACUCUCUGGUCUGUAACUGACGCUGAGGUGCGAAAGCGUGGGGAGCGAACAGGAUUAGAUACCCUGGUAGUCCACGCCGU
Molecule: ribosomal RNA, 800 nt
Filed under: Virgibacillus sp. JSM 101097
Lineage: Bacteria; Bacillati; Bacillota; Bacilli; Caryophanales; Bacillaceae
Description: bacterial SSU rRNA
Rfam family: Bacterial small subunit ribosomal RNA
Source: RNAcentral